This 253-nucleotide ribosomal RNA is filed under the name uncultured bacterium. Its description in RNAcentral is "partial 16S ribosomal RNA". It matches the Rfam family "Bacterial small subunit ribosomal RNA", at positions 524 to 776 of the family's 1533-position model. The record is from RNAcentral.
UACGUAGGGGGCUAGCGUUGUCCGGAUUUAUUGGGCGUAAAGCGCGUGUAGGCGGCCAGGAAGGUCCGCUGUGAAAACUCGAGGCUCAACCUCGAGACGUCGGCGGAAACCCUCUGGCUAGAGUCCGGAAGAGGAGAGUGGAAUUCCCGGUGUAGCGGUGAAAUGCGCAGAUAUCGGGAAGAACACCCGUGGCGAAGGCGGCUCUCUGGGACGGUACUGACGCUGAGACGCGAAAGCGUGGGGAGCGAACAGG